This 77-nucleotide transfer RNA is filed under the name Paraflavitalea soli. RNAcentral describes it as "tRNA-Ala". It matches the Rfam family "tRNA". From Rfam's summary of the family: Transfer RNA (tRNA) molecules are approximately 80 nucleotides in length. Their secondary structure includes four short double-helical elements and three loops (D, anti-codon, and T loops). The record is from RNAcentral. Lineage: Bacteria; Pseudomonadati; Bacteroidota; Chitinophagia; Chitinophagales; Chitinophagaceae.
GGGGGAUUAGCUCAGUUGGCUAGAGCGCUAGCAUGGCAUGUUAGAGGUCAUCGGUUCGACCCCGAUAUCCUCCACGA